GGUCCCAUCGUCUAGCCCGGCCUAGGACGACUCCCUCUCACGGAGUAAACUGGGGUUCGAAUCCCCAUGGGACUACCA
RNAcentral lists this transfer RNA (78 nucleotides) under Candidatus Veblenbacteria bacterium. RNAcentral describes it as "tRNA-Glu". It matches the Rfam family "tRNA". Rfam says of the family: Transfer RNA (tRNA) molecules are approximately 80 nucleotides in length. Their secondary structure includes four short double-helical elements and three loops (D, anti-codon, and T loops). Lineage: Bacteria; Candidatus Vebleniibacteriota. The record is from RNAcentral.